Ciona savignyi (Pacific transparent sea squirt) is the source of this 72-nucleotide non-coding RNA. The record is from Rfam. Lineage: Eukaryota; Metazoa; Chordata; Ascidiacea; Phlebobranchia; Cionidae.
GGGGAUGUAGCUCAGUGGUAGAGCGCACGCUUUGCAUGUGUGAGGCACCGGGUUCAAUCCCCGGCAUCUCCA